This 497-nucleotide ribosomal RNA is filed under the name uncultured bacterium. Its description in RNAcentral is "partial 16S ribosomal RNA". It matches the Rfam family "Bacterial small subunit ribosomal RNA", at positions 28 to 507 of the family's 1533-position model. The record is from RNAcentral.
GAUGAACGCUGGCGGCGUGCCUAAUACAUGCAAGUCGAGCGAACAGACGAGGAGCUUGCUCCUCUGACGUUAGCGGCGGACGGGUGAGUAACACGUGGAUAACCUACCUAUAAGACUGGGAUAACUUCGGGAAACCGGAGCUAAUACCGGAUAAUAUAUUGAACCGCAUGGUUCAAUAGUGAAAGACGGUUUUGCUGUCACUUUUAGAUGGAUCCGCGCCGCAUUGGCUAGUUGGUAAGGUAACGGCUUACCAAGGCAACGAUGCGUAGCCGACCUGAGAGGGUGAUCGGCCACACUGGAACUGAGACACGGUCCAGACUCCUACGGGAGGCAGCAGUAGGGAAUCUUCCGCAAUGGGCGAAAGCCUGACGGAGCAACGCCGCGUGAGUGAUGAAGGUCUUCGGAUCGUAAAACUCUGUUAUUAGGGAAGAACAAAUGUGUAAGUAACUAUGCACGUCUUGACGGUACCUAAUCAGAAAGCCACGGCUAACUACGUG